UACGUAGGGUGCAAGCGUUGUCCGGAAUUAUUGGGCGUAAAGAGCUCGUAGGCGGUUCAGUAAGUCGGGUGUGAAAACUUUGGGCUUAACCCAAAGCGUGCAUCCGAUACUGCUGUGACUUGAGUUCGGUAGGGGAGUGGGGAAUUCCUAGUGUAGCGGUGAAAUGCGCAGAUAUUAGGAGGAACACCGGUGGCGAAGGCGACACUCUGGGCCGAAACUGACGCUGAGGAGCGAAAGCAUGGGUAGCAAACAGG
This 254-nucleotide ribosomal RNA is filed under the name uncultured bacterium. RNAcentral's name for it is "partial 16S ribosomal RNA". It matches the Rfam family "Bacterial small subunit ribosomal RNA", at positions 524 to 776 of the family's 1533-position model. The record is from RNAcentral.